Molecule: ribosomal RNA, 462 nt
Filed under: uncultured bacterium
Lineage: Bacteria
Description: partial 16S ribosomal RNA
Rfam family: Bacterial small subunit ribosomal RNA
Source: RNAcentral
GACGAACGCUGGCGGCGUGCUUAACACAUGCCAGUCGAGCGGAAAGGCCCUUCGGGGUACUCGAGCGGCGAACGGGUGAGUAACACGUGAGUAACCUGCCCUAGACUUUGGGAUAACCCUCGGAAACGGGGGCUAAUACCGGAUACUCCUUCUAAAUCGCAUGAUUUGGUUGGGAAAGUUUUUCGGUCUGGGAUGGACUCGCGGCCUAUCAGCUUGUUGGUGGGGUAAUGGCCGACCAAGGCGAGGACGGGUAGCCGGCCUGAGAGGGCGACCGGCCACACUGGGACUGAGACACGGCCCAGACUCCUACGGGAGGCAGCAGUGGGGAAUAUUGCACAAUGGGCGGAAGCCUGAUGCAGCGACGCCGCGUGAGGGAUGACGGCCUUCGGGUUGUAAACCUCUUUCAGCAGGGACGAAGCGUAAGUGACGGUACCUGCAGAAGAAGCGCCGGCCAACUACGUG